This 742-nucleotide ribosomal RNA is filed under the name uncultured bacterium. RNAcentral describes it as "bacterial SSU rRNA". It matches the Rfam family "Bacterial small subunit ribosomal RNA", at positions 8 to 796 of the family's 1533-position model. The record is from RNAcentral.
AGAGUUUGAUCAUGGCUCAGAACGAACGCUGGCGGCAUGCCUAACACAUGCAAGUCGAACGAGACCUUCGGGUCUAGUGGCGCACGGGUGCGUAACGCGUGGGAACCUGCCUUUAGGUUCGGAAUAACUCAGAGAAAUUUGAGCUAAUACCGGAUAAUGUCUUCGGACCAAAGAUUUAUCGCCUUUAGAUGGGCCCGCGUUGGAUUAGCUAGUUGGUGGGGUAAAGGCCUACCAAGGCGACGAUCCAUAGCUGGUCUGAGAGGAUGAUCAGCCACACUGGGACUGAGACACGGCCCAGACUUCUACGGGAGGCAGCAGUGGGGAAUAUUGGACAAUGGGCGAAAGCCUGAUCCAGCAAUGCCGCGUGAGUGAUGAAGGCCUUAGGGUUGUAAAGCUCUUUUACCCGAGAUGAUAAUGACAGUAUCGGGAGAAUAAGCUCCGGCUAACUCCGUGCCAGCAGCCGCGGUAAUACGGAGGGAGCUAGCGUUGUUCGGAAUUACUGGGCGUAAAGCGCACGUAGGCGGCUUUUUAAGUCAGGGGUGAAAUCCCGGGGCUCAACCCCGGAACUGCCCUUGAAACUGGGAAGCUAGAAUCUUGGAGAGGCGAGUGGAAUUCCGAGUGUAGAGGUGAAAUUCGUAGAUAUUCGGAAGAACACCAGUGGCGAAGGCGACUCGCUGGACAAGUAUUGACGCUGAGGUGCGAAAGCGUGGGGAGCAAACAGGAUUAGAUACCCCGGUAGUCC